AAACAUAAGAAAAAAUUGUUUGGAUCUAAGGCUAGGUAACGAGUUCUUAGACAUAAAACCAAAAGCACAAACAGAAAAGAAACAUUCUGAUAAACCAGAUUUCAUCAAAGUUUUAAAAAUUUUGUUCUAAAAGAUACUGUUAAAGGACGAAAACACAAACUACAUAUUAGAGAAAAUGUUUGCAAAUCACAUAUCUGAUGAAACAACAAAUAUUUCUCAAAAUUAAACAUUAAAAAAAAUACAAUUAGAAAAUGGGCAAAUGAGAUGAACAGGUACAUCACUAAUGAGAAUAUAAGGAUGUUGAAUAAGCCCACAGUCAAUCUCUAACUAUUAAGGAAGUGCAAAUUAACACUAUAAUGAAAUAUCUCAACACUAAUUAGAAUAACUAAAUUUAAAAAUAAUAAUAGAAAUAUAAAAUCUGGCAAGGUCUUAAAGAGACAACCUCUCAAACAUUGCUAGUGGGAAAUUACAAUGGUACAGUCACUCUGGAAAAUAUUAUGGCAGUUUCUUAAAAAUAAAUAAGUAAAUAAAUACACAUGCAACUGCCAUCUGAUCCAGCAAUUACACUCCUGGGCAUUUAUCCCAGGGAAAUGAAAAUUAUAUCCACCCAAAUAUCUGUACACAAUUGAUUAUAAUAGCUUUAUUUUUAAUAGUCAAGACCUGAAAAUAGCUCAGUAUCUCUCAAAAAUUGAAUGGUUAAACAAAUUUACUUAAGGAGACCUUAUAAAUUAUACCAAAUCAUAAUUUAGUAUAAUUCUAAUUUAAUAUAAGAUAUGUCAAAUUUAUAAAUGGAGGUUUAUUUAAAAAUCCAUAUCAUGAAAUUUUACAUAACAAUAAAAGUGAAUUAUUAAUGCACUCAACAACUUUGAUGGAUUUCAAGGUCAUUAUGCUAAAAAAGGAAAGCCAAUUUCUAAGGUUAUGUGUUACCAUUUAUGUAAUAUUUUGAAAUGACAGAAUUAUAGAGAACAGGAUGGUGUCAAGGGGUUAAGGGAGAGGUGUGUAUAUAUAUAACCUUUGUAGUAACAGAAUAGCUCUGUAUCUUGAUUGCUUGCAGUAGCGGUUACAAGAAUCUACAUAUGUCAUAAGGUGACAUGAAACUAUAUACACACAAUGUCAAUUUCUUACUUUCAAUAUUGUACUCUAAUUAUGUAAGAUAUAAUCACUGGAGAAAACUGAGGGAAGGAUAAGCUGGACAUCCCUGUACUAUCUUUGUAACUUUCUGUUAGUUUAUAUUUAUUCCAAAAUAAAAAGUAUGAAAAUCUGAGUAAUCCAUUAGAAGCUAGGAUUAACUGAGGAGAGUCUGGUAAGGGGGCAAAAAUCAAAGUGUGAGCAGGAGCUGUAGGCAAUGAAUUGUGCUGGAUAGUAUAUUAGCUUCCUUGAGCUGCUCUAACAAAGUACCACAAAUUGUGUGGCUUCAGACAGAAAGUUAUUGUCUCUGGAAGUUAAGCUUCCAGUUAUGGAGGCUUAAAAUCUGAAGUCAAGGUGACAGCAGGGCUAUGAUUCCUUCCUUGCUUUUUCCAGUUCUAGUGGUGGCUACACUCCUUCUCACUCCUUGGCUUACAGGUGCCUCACUCCAACUGCUGCUUCUCUUGUCACAUAGCCUUUUCCCCCUUUAUGUGUGUCUUUGUCUUCAUAAGUCACAUGUCUUCCCACUGGGCACACCCUACUUCACAUGCUGUCAUCUUAAUAAUCACAUCUGCAAAGAAUAUUUCCAAACAAGGUCACAUUUUGAGGUUCCAGAUGGGCAGAAAUUUGUGGGGAGUCACUAUUAAACCCGGUACAGAUGGACAACAAAAUAACACAUGAGGUCUCUGGAUGGGUUGGUGCCAAUUGAAGAGAAAAUAAUGAAGACAUGGAUAGAGCACAAUGACAAUAAAACCUUGACACAAAGUGAAGUAUAGGGAGCACGGAGCCCUGAGAGAUAAUGCUACAAUUUGCUAUAUUACCUGCUUUUCCCUUAUACCAUCAAAGCACUCUCUUUAUCCCCAUUUUCUAAAAGUAAGCAAUCAGUUGAGACACAGAAA
Molecule: long non-coding RNA, 2024 nt
Filed under: Canis lupus familiaris (dog)
Lineage: Eukaryota; Metazoa; Chordata; Mammalia; Carnivora; Canidae
Description: lncRNA (ENSCAFG00845028673.1)
Source: RNAcentral